This 1319-nucleotide ribosomal RNA is filed under the name Salmonella enterica subsp. enterica serovar Agona. RNAcentral's name for it is "partial 23S ribosomal RNA". It matches the Rfam family "Bacterial large subunit ribosomal RNA", at positions 1 to 1348 of the family's 2925-position model. Lineage: Bacteria; Pseudomonadati; Pseudomonadota; Gammaproteobacteria; Enterobacterales; Enterobacteriaceae. The record is from RNAcentral.
GGGUUGUGAGGUUAAGCGACUAAGCGUACACGGUGGAUGCCCUGGCAGUCAGAGGCGAUGAAGGGCGUGCUAAUCUGCGAUAAGCGCCGGUAAGGUGAUAUGAACCGUUAUAACCGGCGAUACCCGAAUGGGGAAACCCAGUGUGACUCGUCACACUAUCAUUAACUGAAUCCAUAGGUUAAUGAGGCGAACCGGGGGAACUGAAACAUCUAAGUACCCCGAGGAAAAGAAAUCAACCGAGAUUCCCCCAGUAGCGGCGAGCGAACGGGGAGGAGCCCAGAGCCUGAAUCAGCAUGUGUGUUAGUGGAAGCGUCUGGAAAGGCGCGCGAUACAGGGUGACAGCCCCGUACACAAAAGCGCAUGUGCUGUGAGCUCGAUGAGUAGGGCGGGACACGUGGUAUCCUGUCUGAAUAUGGGGGGACCAUCCUCCAAGGCUAAAUACUCCUGACUGACCGAUAGUGAACCAGUACCGUGAGGGAAAGGCGAAAAGAACCCCGGCGAGGGGAGUGAAAAAGAACCUGAAACCGUGUACGUACAAGCAGUGGGAGCACAGGUUUACCUGUGUGACUGCGUACCUUUUGUAUAAUGGGUCAGCGACUUAUAUUCUGUAGCAAGGUUAACCGCAUAGGGGAGCCGGAGGGAAACCGAGUCUUAAUUGGGCGUUAAGUUGCAGGGUAUAGACCCGAAACCCGGUGAUCUAGCCAUGGGCAGGUUGAAGGUUGGGUAACACUAACUGGAGGACCGAACCGACUAAUGUUGAAAAAUUAGCGGAUGACCUGUGGCUGGGGGUGAAAGGCCAAUCAAACCGGGAGAUAGCUGGUUCUCCCCGAAAGCUAUUUAGGUAGCGCCUCGUGAAUUCAUCUCCGGGGGUAGAGCACUGUUUCGGCUAGGGGGCCAUCCCGGCUUACCAACCCGAUGCAAACUGCGAAUACCGGAGAAUGUUAUCACGGGAGACACACGGCGGGUGCUAACGUCCGUCGUGAAGAGGGAAACAACCCAGACCGCCAGCUAAGGUCCCAAAGUCAUGGUUAAGUGGGAAACGAUGUGGGAAGGCCCAGACAGCCAGGAUGUUGGCUUAGAAGCAGCCAUCAUUUAAAGAAAGCGUAAUAGCUCACUGGUCGAGUCGGCCUGCGCGGAAGAUGUAACGGGGCUAAACCAUGCACCGAAGCUGCGGCAGCGACACUCAGGUGUUGUUGGGUAGGGGAGCGUUCUGUAAGCCUGCGAAGGUGGCCUGUGAGGGUUGCUGGAGGUAUCAGAAGUGCGAAUGCUGACAUAAGUAACGAUAAAGCGGGUGAAAAGCCCGCUCGCCGGAAGACCAA